This 254-nucleotide ribosomal RNA is filed under the name uncultured bacterium. RNAcentral's name for it is "partial 16S ribosomal RNA". It matches the Rfam family "Bacterial small subunit ribosomal RNA", at positions 524 to 776 of the family's 1533-position model. The record is from RNAcentral.
UACGUAGGGGGCAAGCGUUGUCCGGAUUUAUUGGGCGUAAAGAGCUCGUAGGCGGUUCGGCAAGUCGGGAGUGAAAUCUCCACGCUCAACGUGGAGGGGCCUUCCGAUACUGCUGUGACUCGAGUCUGGUAGAGGAGUGUGGAACUCCCGGUGUAGCGGUGAAAUGCGCAGAGAUCGGGAAGAACACCAGUUGCGAAGGCUGCACUCUGGGCCAGUACUGACGCUGAGGAGCGAAAGCGUGGGGAGCAAACAGG